Molecule: ribosomal RNA, 465 nt
Filed under: uncultured bacterium
Lineage: Bacteria
Description: partial 16S ribosomal RNA
Rfam family: Bacterial small subunit ribosomal RNA
Source: RNAcentral
CCUACGGGUGGCAGCAGUGGGGAAUAUUGCGCAAUGGGCGAAAGCCUGACGCAGCGACGCCGCGUGAGGGAUGACGGCCUUCGGAUCGUAAACCUCUGUCAGCAGGGAAGAACGGUCACUGUGCUAAUCAGCAGUGAAUUGACGGUACCUGCAAAGGAAGCACCGGCUAACUCCGUGCCAGCAGCCGCGGGAAUACGGAGGGUGCAAGCGUUAAUCGGAAUUACUGGGCGUAAAGCGGGCGUAGGCGGUAGGUCAAGUCCAGGGUGAAAUCCCCGGGCUCAACGUGGGAACUGCCUUUGAAACUGGCAGACUGGAGUGUGUGAGAGGAGAGUGGAAUUCGUGGUGUAGGGGUGAAAUCCGUAGAUAUCUGGAAGAACAUCAGUGGCGAAGGCGACUAUCUGGCACAUAACUGACGCUGAGGAGCGAAAGCGUGGGUAGCAAACAGGAUUAGAUACCCCUGUAGUC